Molecule: ribosomal RNA, 497 nt
Filed under: uncultured bacterium
Lineage: Bacteria
Description: partial 16S ribosomal RNA
Rfam family: Bacterial small subunit ribosomal RNA
Source: RNAcentral
GAUGAACGCUGGCGGCGUGCCUAAUACAUGCAAGUCGAGCGAACAGACGAGGAGCUUGCUCCUCUGACGUUAGCGGCGGACGGGUGAGUAACACGUGGAUAACCUACCUAUAAGACUGGGAUAACUUCGGGAAACCGGAGCUAAUACCGGAUAAUAUAUUGAACCGCUUGGUUCAAUAGUGAAAGACGGUUUUGCUGUCACUUAUAGAUGGAUCCGCGCCGCAUUAGCUAGUUGGUAAGGUAACGGCUUACCAAGGCAACGAUGCGUAGCCGACCUGAGAGGGUGAUCGGCCACACUGGAACUGAGACACGGUCCAGACUCCUACGGGAGGCAGCAGUAGGGAAUCUUCCGCAAUGGGCGAAAGCCUGACGGAGCAACGCCGCGUGAGUGAUGAAGGUCUUCGGAUCGUAAAACUCUGUUAUUAGGGAAGAACAAAUGUGUAAGUAAAUAUGCACGUCUUGACGGUACCUAAUCAGAAAGCCACGGCUAACUACGUG